UAUUAGGAGUUUGAUCCUGGCUCAGGACGAACGCUGGCGGCGUGCCUAAUACAUGCAAGUCGAACGCUUCUUUUUCCACCGGAGCUUGCUCCACCGGAAAAAGAAGAGUGGCGAACGGGUGAGUAACACGUGGGUAACCUGCCCAUCAGAAGGGGAUAACACUUGGAAACAGGUGCUAAUACCGUAUAACAAUCAAAACCGCAUGGUUUUGAUUUGAAAGGCGCUUUCGGGUGUCGCUGAUGGAUGGACCCGCGGUGCAUUAGCUAGUUGGUGAGGUAACGGCUCACCAAGGCCACGAUGCAUAGCCGACCUGAGAGGGUGAUCGGCCACAUUGGGACUGAGACACGGCCCAAACUCCUACGGGAGGCAGCAGUAGGGAAUCUUCGGCAAUGGACGAAAGUCUGACCGAGCAAAGCCGCGUGAGUGAAGAAGGUUUUCGGAUCGUAAAACUUAUGUUUAGAGAAGAACAAGGAUGAGAGUAACUGUUCAUCCCUUGACGGUAUCCAACCCC
RNAcentral lists this ribosomal RNA (511 nucleotides) under Enterococcus faecium. RNAcentral's name for it is "bacterial SSU rRNA". It matches the Rfam family "Bacterial small subunit ribosomal RNA", at positions 1 to 486 of the family's 1533-position model. Lineage: Bacteria; Bacillati; Bacillota; Bacilli; Lactobacillales; Enterococcaceae. The record is from RNAcentral.